UACGGAGGAUGCGAGCGUUAUCCGGAUUUAUUGGGUUUAAAGGGUGCGUAGGCGGUCCGUUAAGUCAGCGGUAAAAUUGCGGGGCUCAACCCCGUCGAGCCGUUGAUACUGGCAUCCUUGAGUACAGUAGAGGUAGGCGGAAUUCGUGGUGUAGCGGUGAAAUGCUUAGAUAUCACGAAGAACUCCGAUUGCGAAGGCAGCCUGCUGGACUGUAACUGACGCUGAUGCUCGAAAGUGUGGGUAUCAAACAGG
This 252-nucleotide ribosomal RNA is filed under the name uncultured Bacteroides sp. RNAcentral's name for it is "partial 16S ribosomal RNA". It matches the Rfam family "Bacterial small subunit ribosomal RNA", at positions 524 to 776 of the family's 1533-position model. Lineage: Bacteria; Pseudomonadati; Bacteroidota; Bacteroidia; Bacteroidales; Bacteroidaceae. The record is from RNAcentral.